GGAAGUAAAAGUCGUAACAAGGUCUCCGUUGGUGAACCAGCGGAGGGAUCAUUACCGAGUUUACAACUCCCAAACCCAAUGUGAACGUUACCAAACUGUUGCCUCGGCGGGAUCUCUGCCCCGGGUGCGUCGCAGCCCCGGACCAAGGCGCCCGCCGGAGGACCAACCAAAACUCUUUUUGUAUACCCCCUCGCGGGUUUUUUAUAAUCUGAGCCUUCUCGGCGCCUCUCGUAGGCGUUUCGAAAAUGAAUCAAAACUUUCAACAACGGAUCUCUUGGUUCUGGCAUCGAUGAAGAACGCAGCGAAAUGCGAUAAGUAAUGUGAAUUGCAGAAUUCAGUGAAUCAUCGAAUCUUUGAACGCACAUUGCGCCCGCCAGUAUUCUGGCGGGCAUGCCUGUCCGAGCGUCAUUUCAACCCUCGAACCCCUCCGGGGGGUCGGCGUUGGGGAUCGGCCCUGCCUCUUGGCGGUGGCCGUCUCCGAAAUACAGUGGCGGUCUCGCCGCAGCCUCUCCUGCGCAGUAGUUUGCACACUCGCAUCGGGAGCGCGGCGCGUCCACAGCCGUUAAACACCCAACUUCUGAAAUGUUGACCUCGGAUCAGGUAGGAAUACCCGCUGAACUUAAGCAUAUCAAUAAGCGGA
RNAcentral lists this ribosomal RNA (640 nucleotides) under Trichoderma tawa. RNAcentral's name for it is "eukaryotic LSU rRNA". The stretch from base 255 to 408 matches the Rfam family "5.8S ribosomal RNA". Lineage: Eukaryota; Fungi; Ascomycota; Sordariomycetes; Hypocreales; Hypocreaceae. The record is from RNAcentral.